This 520-nucleotide ribosomal RNA is filed under the name uncultured Glomus. RNAcentral describes it as "SSU rRNA". It matches the Rfam family "Eukaryotic small subunit ribosomal RNA", at positions 569 to 1087 of the family's 1831-position model. Lineage: Eukaryota; Fungi; Glomeromycota; Glomeromycetes; Glomerales; Glomeraceae. The record is from RNAcentral.
AGCAGCCGCGGUAAUUCCAGCUCCAAUAGCGUAUAUUAAAGUUGUUGCAGUUAAAAAGCUCGUAGUUGAAUUUCGGGAUCAAUUUAUUGGUCGUGCUAUUGUACGUACUGGUAUUAUUGAUUCCUACCUUCUGACGAACCAUGAUGUCAUUAAUUUGGUGUCAUGGGGAAUCAGGACUGUUACUUUGAAAAAAUUAGAGUGUUUAAAGCAGGCUCACGCUUGAAUACAUUAGCAUGGAAUAACGAAAUAGGACGUUUGAUUCUAUUUUGUUGGUUUCUAGGAUCGACGUAACGAUUAAUAGGGAUAGUUGGGGGCAUUAGUAUUCAAUUGUCAGAGGUGAAAUUCUUGGAUUUAUUGAAAGACUAACUACUGCGAAAGCAUUUGCCAAGGAUGUUUUCAUUAAUCAAGAACGAAAGUUAGGGGAUCGAAGACGAUCAGAUACCGUCGUAGUCUUAACCAUAAACUAUGCCGACUAGGGAUCGGAUGAUGUUUAAUUUUUAAUGUACUCAUUCGGCGUACC